UGAUUCGUUCGCCAUAGGAUGGGACUGCGGCCUAUCAGCUUAUUAGUGAGGUAAUGGCCCACCAAGGCGAUUACAGGUACGGGCUCUGAGAGGAGAAGCCCGGAGAUGGGUACUGAGACACGGACCCAGGCCCUAUGGGGCGCAGCAGGCGAGAAAACUUUGCAAUGUGCGAAAGCACGACAAGGUUAGUCCGAGUGAUUUCUGCUAAAGAGAUCUUUUGCAAGUUAUAAAACCACUAGUGAAUAAGGGGUGGGCAAGUUCUGGUGU
RNAcentral lists this ribosomal RNA (267 nucleotides) under uncultured archaeon. RNAcentral's name for it is "partial 16S ribosomal RNA". It matches the Rfam family "Archaeal small subunit ribosomal RNA", at positions 187 to 458 of the family's 1478-position model. The record is from RNAcentral.